AGCGCAUACGGUGGAUGCCUAGGCGGUAGAAGGCGAUGAAGGACGUAGUAGCUUGCGAAAAGCCUCGGGGAGUUGGCAAACAAACUUUGAUCCGGGGAUAUCCGAAUGGGGAAACCCACCUGUCGCAAGACAGGUAUUCUGCACUGAAUACAUAGGUACAGAAGGCAAACUCGGGGAACUGAAACAUCUAAGUACCCGAAGGAACAGAAAUCAACCGAUAUUCCCUCAGUAGCGGCGAGCGAACAGGGAACAGCCCUUAAAUUCUAAAUUUACUAGUGGAAUGAACUGGAAAGUUCAGCAAUACAGGGUGACAGCCCCGUACAUGAAAGCAAAUUUAGGGUGAAAUCGAGUAAGGCGGGACACGCGAAAUCUUGCCCGAACAUGGGGGGACCAUCCUCCAAGGCUAAAUACUCUCUACCGACCGAUAGUGAACUAGUACCGUGAGGGAAAGGCGAAAAGAACCCCCACAAGGGAGUGAAAUAGAACCUGAAACCGUAUGCGUACAAGCAGUCGGAGCCUGCGUUUUAGCGGGUGACGGCGUACCUUUUGUAUAAUGGGUCAGCGACUUACUUCUCAGUGGCAAGCUUAACCAAAUAGGGGAGGCGUAGGGAAACCGAGUCUUAACAGGGCGAUCAAGUCGCUGGGAGUAGACCCGAAACUGGGCGAUCUACCCAUGGCCAGGCUGAAGGUAGGGUAAUACCUACUGAAGGGCCGAACCGGGAUCUGUUGAAAAAGAUUCGGAUGAGCUGUGGGUCGGAGUGAAAGGCUAAUCAAGCCCAGAGAUAGCUGGUUCUCCCCGAAAGCUAUUUAGGUAGUGCCUCGUGACUUACCUUAGGGGGUAGAGCACUGUUUCGGCUAGGGGGUCAUCCCGACUUACCAAACCGAUGCAAACUCCGAAUACCUAAGAGUAUUAUCACGGGAGACACACAGCGGGUGCUAACGUCCGUUGUGGAAAGGGAAACAACCCAGACCGCCAGCUAAGGUCCCCAAAUCAGAUUUCAGUGGGAAACGAUGUGGGAAGGCACAGACAGCCAGGAGGUUGGCUUAGAAGCAGCCAUCCUUUAAAGAAAGCGUAAUAGCUCACUGGUCGAGUCAGCCUGCGCGGAAGAUUUAACGGGGCUAAAAUCUGUACCGAAGCUGCGGAUGUGUCUUGAGACACAUGGUAGGGGAGCGUUCCGUACGCCCAUGAAGGUGGACUGUGAAAUCCGCUGGAGGUAUCGGAAGUGCGAAUGCUGACAUGAGUAACGAAAAAGGAGAAAAGAAACCUCCUCGCCGAAAGUCCAAGGUUUCCUACACAACGUUAAUCGAUGUAGGGUUAGUCGGCCCCUAAGAUAAGGCCGAAAGGCGUAGUCGAUGGGAAGCAGGUUAACAUUCCUGCACCAUACAUGAUUGCGAUGGGGGGACGGAGAAGGCUAGAUUAUCCAGGUGUUGGUCAUCCUGGUUCAAGCACGUAGACAGACAUUCUAGGCAAAUCCGGAGUGUUAAUGUUGAGAUGUUAACAGGUAACCCCUCCAUGGAGGGGCCAACUAAUCAAUGCCAUGCUUCCAAGAAAAGCCUCUAAGCUUCAGAUUAUGUAUGACCGUACCCUAAACCGACACAGGUGGACUGGGAGAGAAUCCUAAGGCGCUUGAGAAAACUCGGGUGAAGGAACUCGGCAAAAUAGUACCGUAACUUCGGGAGAAGGUACGCCCCCAAUAUGUGAAACGGUUUACCCGUGAAGAGCAGAAGGGGGUUGCAGUAACCAGGUGGCUGCGACUGUUUAUUAAAAACACAGCACUCUGCAAACACGUAAGUGGACGUAUAGGGUGUGACGCCUGCCCGGUGCCGGAAGGUUAAUUGAUGGGGUUAGCCGCAAGGCAAAGCUCUUGAUCGAAGCCCCGGUAAACGGCGGCCGUAACUAUGACGGUCCUAAGGUAGCGAAAUUCCUUGUCGGGUAAGUUCCGACCUGCACGAAUGGCGUAACGAUGGCCACACUGUCUCCACCCGAGACUCAGUGAAAUUGAACUUGCUGUUAAGAUGCAGUAUACCUGCGGCUAGACGGAAAGACCCCGUGAACCUUUACUAUAGCUUUGCACUGGAUUUUGAACCUGCUUGUGUAGGAUAGGUGGGAGGCUGUGAAAUUAGUACGCCAGUACUAAUGGAGCCAUCCUUGAAAUACCACCCUGGCAUGUUUGAAGUUCUAACCUAGACCCGUUACCCGGGCCGGGGACAGUGUAUGGUAGGUAGUUUGACUGGGGCGGUCUCCUCCAAAAGAGUAACGGAGGAGCACGAAGGUACCCUCAGCGCGGUCGGAAAUCGCGCAUUGAGUGCAAAGGCAUAAGGGUGCUUGACUGUGAGACGAACAGGUCGAACAGGGUCGAAAGACGGUCUUAGUGAUCCGGUGGUUCUGAAUGGAAGGGCCAUCGCUCAACGGAUAAAAGGUACUCCGGGGAUAACAGGCUGAUACCGCCCAAGAGUUCAUAUCGACGGCGGUGUUUGGCACCUCGAUGUCGGCUCAUCACAUCCUGGGGCUGAAGUCGGUCCCAAGGGUAUGGCUGUUCGCCAUUUAAAGUGGUACGCGAGCUGGGUUUAGAACGUCGUGAGACAGUUCGGUCCCUAUCUGCCGUGGGCGUUGGAGACUUGAGGGAAGCUGUUCCUAGUACGAGAGGACCGGAAUGGACGUACCUCUGGUGUUCCGGUUGUCACGCCAGUGGCAAUGCCGGGUAGCUAUGUACGGAAGGGAUAACCGCUGAAAGCAUCUAAGCGGGAAGCCCCUCCCAAGAUUAGGUCUCCCAGGGCACUCGAUGUCCCUUAAGGUCCGUUGA
Molecule: ribosomal RNA, 2804 nt
Filed under: Candidatus Achromatium palustre
Lineage: Bacteria; Pseudomonadati; Pseudomonadota; Gammaproteobacteria; Thiotrichales; Thiotrichaceae
Description: bacterial LSU rRNA
Rfam family: Bacterial large subunit ribosomal RNA
Source: RNAcentral